This 118-nucleotide small nuclear RNA is filed under the name Enterobius vermicularis (human pinworm). RNAcentral describes it as "U5 spliceosomal RNA". It matches the Rfam family "U5 spliceosomal RNA". Rfam says of the family: U5 RNA is a component of both types of known spliceosome. Lineage: Eukaryota; Metazoa; Nematoda; Chromadorea; Rhabditida; Oxyuridae. The record is from Rfam by way of RNAcentral.
GUCUCUUGUUCUUUUGCACUUAGCCGAGAAAAUCUUUCGCCUUUUACUAAAGAUUUCCGUGCAAGAGAACAAUUUAUGAGUAUACUCUAAUUUUUGGAGUCCCGUCUUCGGACGGGAA